UACAGAGGGUGCAAGCGUUAAUCGGAUUUACUGGGCGUAAAGGGCGCGUAGGCGGUUGUGUGAGUGUGAUGUGAAAGCCCCGGGCUUAACCUGGGAAGUGCAUCGCAAACGACAUAACUGGAGUAGGUGAGAGGGUGGCGGAAUUUCCGGUGUAGCGGUGAAAUGCGUAGAGAUCGGAAGGAACGUCAAUGGCGAAGGCAGCCACCUGGCACCAUACUGACGCUGAGGCGCGAAAGCGUGGGGAGCGAACAGG
RNAcentral lists this ribosomal RNA (253 nucleotides) under uncultured bacterium. Its description in RNAcentral is "partial 16S ribosomal RNA". It matches the Rfam family "Bacterial small subunit ribosomal RNA", at positions 524 to 776 of the family's 1533-position model. The record is from RNAcentral.